This 420-nucleotide long non-coding RNA is filed under the name Rattus norvegicus (Norway rat). RNAcentral's name for it is "long non-coding RNA NONRATT009627". Lineage: Eukaryota; Metazoa; Chordata; Mammalia; Rodentia; Muridae. The record is from RNAcentral.
CACCAUGUCUGUGAAUGCUUCAUGUUACGGUUUGGUUCCCAGAAGAUGGUUCCUACCAGGCCCAGCAGCAGCAGCAAACACAGGGUAAACAUGUGACCAGAAAGAGGUGCAUUGAUGUUGGGAGAGUUCGGCAAGCAAAGAGAUGAAGUUGUAUUUCAACGUGCUUCACACGAUCCACACAUGAAAACUCAGAGAGAGACUCAACAUUCAGAGAGCUGGGGAGAGGGCUCAGCACGUCAGCAUGAGAACUGGUCUUCCAGAAAAACACCCCUGUCAGGUGGUUCGCAACCGCCUGUAGCUCUAACCCCGGAGGAGUCCAACACUUCUGGCCUCUUCAGGAGCUAGCAAACACCUGCACACACCCACACAUGGAUGCACACAUAUUCACAGAACUAAAAAUAAUAAACCCUUUAUAAAUGU